GACGAACGCUGGCGGCGUGCCUAACACAUGCAAGUCGAACGGAAAGGCCCGGGUCUUCUGGGGUGCGCGAGUUGCGAACUGGUGAGUAACACGUGUGUAACCUGUCCUUGACGUUGGGAUAACGUCAUGACACUUGGGCUAAUACGGGAUAGGAGUUCCCGCUGCAUGGUGGGGGCUGGAAAGAUUCGGCGGUUGGGGAUGGACUCGCGGCUUAUCAGCUCGUUGGUGGGGUAGUGGCUUACCAUGGCUAUGACGGGUAGCCGGCCUGAGAGGGUGACAGGCCACAUUGGGACUGAGAUAAGGCACAGACUCCUCCGGGAGGCAGCAGUGGGGAAUAUUGCACAAUGGGCGGAAGCCUGACGCAGCAACGCCGCGUGCGGGAUGACGGCCUUCGGGUUGUAAACCGCUUUCGCCUGUGACGAAGCGUGAGUGACGGUAAUGGGUAAAGAAGCACCGGCUAACUACGUG
This 468-nucleotide ribosomal RNA is filed under the name uncultured bacterium. RNAcentral describes it as "partial 16S ribosomal RNA". It matches the Rfam family "Bacterial small subunit ribosomal RNA", at positions 28 to 507 of the family's 1533-position model. The record is from RNAcentral.